AGGGAAAUCGGCAAAAUGGAUGAAAAACCUCGGGAUAAUCAUUGGCUCUAGCAUGCUAGAACUGGGCUUACAAGGGGAAUCUGACUGUUUAAUAAAAACAUAGCUUUGUGUGUACGCAAAGUGAAUUCUGCCCAGUGCUUGGGACGUUAAGGAAGUAAUUUUAAGUACGCACCUGUAAACGGCGGGAGUAACUAUGACUCUCUUAAGGUAGCCAAAUGCCUCGUCGCCUAAUUAGCGACGCGCAUGAAUGGAGCAACGAGAUUCCCACUGUCCCUGCUCACAGAUUUGCGAACCUACAGCCAAGGGAACGGGCUUGGGACAUGCAGCGGGGAAAGAAGACCCUGUUGAGCUUGACUCUAGCCAAGCACAGGCCUCUGUGACUAUAUCGUAGCGAGGUGGGAGAAAUGUGUGAGACCACUGACAUAGUCGGCGGGGGCACUCGCAAAGCUUGGUGGGGAGUUUGGCUGGGGCGGCACGACUACUAAAACAUAACGUAGACGUCCAAAGGUAAGCUCCGAGGGGAUGGAAACCACUCCGAGAGUAUAAGGGCAAAAGCUUGCUUUAGUUAUUAAUGUAAAUUAAUAAUACUGGAAACAGGGGCCUAGAGAUCCUCUAUGAAACUAAGCAUAGAGGUGACGGAAAAGUUACCACAGGGAUAACUGGCUUGUGGCGGCCGAGCGUCCAUAGCGACGCCGCUUUUUGAUUCUUCGAUGUCGGCUCUUCCGAGCAUGGUGGAGUAUCAGCCACCAAGUGUGUGAUUGUUCACCAACUAACAGGGAACGUGAGCUGGGUUUAGACCGUCGCGAGACAGGUUAGUUUUACCCUACUGCAUCGCGUCCGAGAGUAGGUCGGGGCAGUACGAGAGGAAGUGCCGAUCAGAACCGCUGGUG
This 890-nucleotide ribosomal RNA is filed under the name Enterocytozoon bieneusi H348. RNAcentral describes it as "eukaryotic LSU rRNA". It matches the Rfam family "Eukaryotic large subunit ribosomal RNA", at positions 1907 to 3065 of the family's 3401-position model. The record is from RNAcentral. Lineage: Eukaryota; Fungi; Microsporidia; Enterocytozoonidae.